CAUAGCUGGGUGCAUGAGUCUGAGUAGUAGAAGCAGCUCUCUUUGCAGGAGAUUGGAAGCCAAUAUCUGUGUGUUGGAAAUAAGUGCUGUCGGGCAGUGCUCCUCACAGCCACGUACAAGUGGGAAAUCUUCUAAGCCUUGGCCUGGAUGGAAGUAAUAUGGAUGAUUGGCAGCUCUGCUCUUGAACCAACAAACUGAAGUCUGCUCUCAGAAUAUGACUGGAACAUACAGAAUCUUCACUGACAAACUGGGAUCAGCUUUCUCUAUCAUAUUCUAGCAAAUGUUGUGUACGUGGGGGUGAGGGGCUGGGUGGGGAACUGCAGGUAUUGAUAGCAUUGCUAACUCAUGUUUGAAGAAAAAGUUGGAGAAAAACUAAACAAACCCUAUUUAACUGGCUCUGAGGGUACCAUAGCAAUCUGUAGGCAAAGGCAAAGUUCAGAUUGUGAGAAAGAAAGUUCAGUAUCUGGAAGACAGGAUAGACAUGUUUAGUUGAGAAUUUACAACUCUGUUCCUUGAGAAUUUUUCUGCAGUCGAGGACAGCUCACAGCAGUGACAUGGCUUUUUGUUGUUUUGUUGUAUUUAUUAUUAUUAUUAUUAUUAUUAUUUAGAAUGGAGGAGUUAGUUGCACAGUUAUACUCCUCAUAAAUGGAAAAUGUUCUGAAGGAGCCGAUGGACACUGGAUAAAAAUGUUUUCCUGGAAAGGAACGCCAACUUCAUUCUGUAGAGCACUUUUCAUAUUAUUGUUGCCAAUGCCACAAGAAACAUGGAUUAUGAAAAUGCUAAUCUUCUCAGAAGAUCCACUAUACCGAUCAGCCUAAUGCUUGUUCCAUGGCAAAAGGUCCCAGAAUAUGGGAACGUGUUACAAGGCAACUUGAAUGCCAGCUUGCUUCCUUCCUCCUUCAGAAGGCAUUGGUUCCAAACAAUUAACAAAGUGUCCCAGCAGACCUUGAAAUAUGAGACAACCUGGGUUCACUGCAACUCUCUAAGUCUAGCAUGAUCAGUCUCAUUACAAUGAGGAAAAAAAAUUAUCCAGCUACUGCUUGACUUGGAUGACACGUGGAGCUCAUUGAUUGACUGAUCACUGCCUUUUGAAAUAUAGGCUAUCCAUCAACUUCUCUCCAUAUGCACCCAGACAGCCAUCUGUCAGGAAGGCUGAUGUCAGCAAAUUAAAGAUGGUGUAAUCACCACCUGCCAAAUGUAGCUGCAGUUUUAAAUUAUAUAGCACAGCUUUUAGGAUGGUAUUACUAAGGAACUGUGCAAAAAGUCUUGCCCCACCUGAUUAUACACUUGUGCCUUAGAUGCUAAAACAAGUUUAAUACCAAUAAAGAAGAAAGCAUGUCUUUUUCUAA
This is a non-coding RNA of Meleagris gallopavo (turkey), 1349 nucleotides long. The record is from RefSeq and is a predicted model, not a curated record. NCBI's taxonomy places the organism in Eukaryota, Metazoa, Chordata, Aves, Galliformes, Phasianidae.